CACUGGUUGGGGCACUGAGCUAGGCCCAAUGAGGUAUGCAAAAAAGAGAAAGCACUGAUCCUUACCACCAUGGAGCUUAUAAGGUAGCUGCAAAAGGGAAGAGACACACUCCUAAGAUCACUAACAACAUCCAACAGGAAAUAAUAAGUUCCAAAUGGGCGCUACGCACGAAUUGCAAAUUUUAAUAUCUGCUUUUAGAAUUAUCUCCUGUCUACAAGCAAUGGACCAGUAAUAACACCCAUUCAAGAGCAACAUCUGAAACAACUUCAUAUAAUGGAAAGGUUUAAUUGCAUGUAUUGAAAUUGGAGCACAAUCUGAAAUAGAAGUGGUGAUGAUUGACUUCCUCAUAUUGCUCCUGAUUGUACUGGAAAAGUUGGUCAGGGAGAGAUAUUACUGUAAAUAAUGAGCAUUGUUUAUCUUACUGGUCUUUUCAAAGAGCCUACACCUUUCCGUAUGUGCUACGGAGACAUGCACGUACUACAUACAUCAUGUGGCACAAGGAACUAGAUCCUGCUAGCAACCACUCGAGUGAGCUUGGAGACAGAUACCCACCAGAAAAGCCUUCAGAUAGGACCGCAUGCCCAGCCAACACUUUGAUUUGUGAGAGACGUUGAACCAUGGGCACCCUGCUAAGCUGCACCUGAAUUCUUACCCCACAGAGACUGUGACAUAAUUUGUGUUUUCUGUUUCAAGCAACUAAGUUUUGGGGUAAUUGUUAUACAGCAAUAGACAACUAAUUUAGUCGAUGAUUGAGUCUCUUAGACAUUUGUCACCCCUUUCUAUUUGGUUUGUGUGGUCAGGUAUUAAGGUCCCUGAGUUCUGUUGUUACAGAGUAAUCAAUCAACUAACACCAACUAAAUAAACAAAAGGUGCAAAGCAGGGCCUUUCCUCUCGGAAGUCCCCUCUCUCUCACUAGAGAGAGAGAGCUGUUUUCCUUUCUCUUUCUCUUUCUUUUGCCUAUUAAACCUUUGCUCCUAAACUAAAAAAAAAAAGUGCAAUGCAGAGGUUAGACUUUUAGAUUGUGCAACUCUUGACUUGCAUAACAUCAACCUUUUGUAAGUUGUUCCAUAAGGGAUGGAAUACAGUUUUAGAGAUGUGAAAAUAUUAGUGUGAUAUAUGGAAAUGUAAAGUAUCUCAGGCAGAGAUGAAUAUUGUGCAUAGAGAGGGAAAGGCAGACGGCACUCACAUGAGAGGGAAGGCCCUUCUGUUCAGUCCCAUGUGGUUUCUGGUACCAUGUGUAUUCUCAUUGCAUUAUCUUGUGUUAUUUCAGUUUAUUAGUUUUAUUUUUCCCUUUGCUUUAUUUCAUUCAGGACUAAAAAUUGACAAAGUAAGAGCAAGAAGAGAGGAACAGUUUCUAAUUUAAGAAGAGGAAUUUGUAAUAGAAAAUAAAAAUGUUAAAGAAACACAAAGGCAUCCACAGUCUAAAUUUCAUGAACUUCAUUUGGGAAAUAUUUUUUAAAUUACGGUAAUUUAUGGAUAAAAAGCAUGAAAGAUGGGCUGGGCAUGAUGCCUCAUGCCUGUAAUCCCAGCACUUUGGGA
Macaca mulatta (Rhesus monkey) is the source of this 1539-nucleotide long non-coding RNA. RefSeq lists it as uncharacterized. The record is from RefSeq and is a predicted model, not a curated record. NCBI's taxonomy places the organism in Eukaryota, Metazoa, Chordata, Mammalia, Primates, Cercopithecidae.